This 266-nucleotide unclassified non-coding RNA is filed under the name Hevea brasiliensis (rubber tree). The record is from RNAcentral. Lineage: Eukaryota; Viridiplantae; Streptophyta; Magnoliopsida; Malpighiales; Euphorbiaceae.
ACCCUCAGCGCUCUUCUUCCACCUGCAAAAAUAAGAGGGAAAAAACAUUGAAAUGACCUUUUUCUCCUUUGAACAAGUAGGUUUCAAAAUUUGACGUGACACGUGUCAAAAGAAAUCUUCAAAACGGCGCCGGAGACGGCGAGCCGACGCCGACCGAAAAACCGUGCGAUUUUAAACUUCCUCUCGCCGGCCAAAUCUAACUAUGCUUGUAGACCGAAAGGAAUAGCAUAACCAGUGUACGUACCUUCAGGACUAGCUCUAACUGG